This 460-nucleotide ribosomal RNA is filed under the name uncultured Bacteroidota bacterium. RNAcentral describes it as "bacterial SSU rRNA". It matches the Rfam family "Bacterial small subunit ribosomal RNA", at positions 338 to 795 of the family's 1533-position model. Lineage: Bacteria; Pseudomonadati; Bacteroidota. The record is from RNAcentral.
CCUACGGGGGGCUGCAGUGAGGAAUAUUGGUCAAUGGGCGCAAGCCUGAACCAGCCAUCCCGCGUGAAGGAAGAAGGCGCUAUGCGUUGUAAACUUCUUUUCCAGGGGAAUAAAAUUUCGUACGAGUACGGGACUGAAGGUACCUUGGGAAUAAGCAUCGGCUAACUCCGUGCCAGCAGCCGCGGUAAUACGGAGGAUGCGAGCGUUAUCCGGAUUUAUUGGGUUUAAAGGGUGCGUAGGCGGAAAAAUAAGUCAGUGGUGAAAACCUUCAGCUUAACUGGAGACUUGCCAUUGAUACUGUUAUUCUUGAGUAUAGUUAAGGUAGGCGGAAUGUGUAAUGUAGCGGUGAAAUGCUUAGAUAUUACACAGAACACCAAUUGCGAAGGCAGCUUACUGAGCUAUAACUGACGCUGAUGCACGAAAGCGUGGGGAGCGAACAGGAUUAGAUACCCCAGUAGUC